UUUAGCAUGGAAUAAUGGAAUAGGACGUGUGGUUCUAUUUUGUUGGUUUCUAGGACCGCCGUAAUGAUUAAUAGGGACAGUCGGGGGCAUCAGUAUUCAAUUGUCAGAGGUGAAAUUCUUGGAUUUAUUGAAGACUAACUACUGCGAAAGCAUUUGCCAAGGAUGUUUUCAUUAAUCAGGAACGAAAGUUAGGGGAUCGAAGACGAUCAGAUACCGUCGUAGUCUUAACCAUAAACUAUGCCGACUAGGGAUCGGACGAUGUUAUUAUUUGACUCGUUCGGCACCUUACAAGAAAUUAAAGUUUCUGGGUUCUGGGGGGAGUAUGGUCGCAAGGCUGAAACUUAAAGAAAUUGACGGAAGGGCACCACCAGGGGUGGAGCCUGCGGCUUAAUUUGACUCAACACGGGGAAACUCACCAGGUCCAGACACGAUGAGGAUUGACAGAUUGAGAGCUCUUUCUUGAUUUCGUGGGUGGUGGUGCAUGGCCGUUCUUAGUUGGUGGAGUGAUUUGUCUGCUUAAUUGCGAUAACGAACGAGACCUUAACCUGCUAAAUAGCCCGUAUUGCCUUGGCAGUACGCUGGCUUCUUAGAGGGACUAUCGGCUCAAGCCGAUGGAAGUUUGAGGCAAUAACAGGUCUGUGAUGCCCUUAGAUGUUUUGGGCCGCACGCGCGCUACACUGACAGAGCCAGCGAGUACUCCCUUGGCCGGAAGGUCCGGGUAAUCUUGUUAAACUCUGUCGUGCUGGGGAUAGGCAUUGCAAUA
This 763-nucleotide ribosomal RNA is filed under the name uncultured fungus. RNAcentral's name for it is "SSU rRNA". It matches the Rfam family "Eukaryotic small subunit ribosomal RNA", at positions 803 to 1591 of the family's 1831-position model. Lineage: Eukaryota; Fungi. The record is from RNAcentral.